Long non-coding RNA from Hyla sarda, 324 nucleotides. RefSeq lists it as uncharacterized. NCBI's taxonomy places the organism in Eukaryota, Metazoa, Chordata, Amphibia, Anura, Hylidae. The transcript is spliced from 3 exons. The record is from RefSeq and is a predicted model, not a curated record.
UUUGUUGAUUGUGGAGUAUGCAUCCUGAAGAAAGCUUCAGACUGUGGCCUACACCUAGAGGCCUUUCCUCACCUACACCAGAGCAAAGGAAGUAGUCCAGCUGCUGCUGCUCUAUGUGAGAAAGGAAAAACUUAAUUUGGGAAACCUUAGAAAGAACAACAAGCGAUCCGUCAUGGCACUCCGUCUGGUUUCUAUGAACUGUAGGGGUCUGAACUCCCCUUUCAAAAGGAAUAAGAAAAGAUUCAUGGCUGGAAGAAGUCGGCAUGGCGAUUACAAGAAAGAAGAAAAAAAGAAAGAAAGAGAACUAUUUCAGGAAGACGUCAA